AUAGUUGCAAGUAAGAAAAAAAAAUUUCUCUUGCUCUUUAAUUAUUAUUUCUUCAAAUCAAACCCAAGUUUCACCCAAACCAUAAACUUUUCCAAUAAAGUAGACAACCCCCUUUCAAGCUCAUCUCCUUUAUUAUCUUCAUCAUUCAAGCUUAGAUUUUCAUAGGCUUAGUGAGAGAAAACUUAAGGUAGUGAGAGAAAGUUUCUAUCAAAGUAAGGUAUGGUAUUUUUUUGAUCUUCCAAGUGUUUACGUAAGAUAUUUUAUAAAAGAAGUGUUAGGAAAUGUGUAUUAAUAUAUGUUGUUUAUAUUUUUGGUAUGAUAAAUGUUGAUGAGUGGAUAAAAUGUCUUUGAGCAAAA
Molecule: long non-coding RNA, 357 nt
Filed under: Gossypium barbadense (sea-island cotton)
Lineage: Eukaryota; Viridiplantae; Streptophyta; Magnoliopsida; Malvales; Malvaceae
Description: long non-coding RNA (GBAR_LNC018432)
Source: RNAcentral